This 163-nucleotide ribosomal RNA is filed under the name Muraltia horrida. RNAcentral's name for it is "5.8S ribosomal RNA". It matches the Rfam family "5.8S ribosomal RNA". From Rfam's summary of the family: 5.8S ribosomal RNA (5.8S rRNA) is a component of the large subunit of the eukaryotic ribosome. It is transcribed by RNA polymerase I as part of the 45S precursor that also contains 18S and 28S rRNA. The record is from RNAcentral. Lineage: Eukaryota; Viridiplantae; Streptophyta; Magnoliopsida; Fabales; Polygalaceae.
GAAUGACUCUCGGCAACGGAUAUCUCGGCUCUCGCAUCGAUGAAGAACGUAGCGAAAUGCGAUACUUGGUGUGAAUUGCAGAAUCCCGUGAACCAUCGAGUCUUUGAACGCAAGUUGCGCCCGAUGCCUUCUGGCCGAGGGCACGUCUGCCUGGGCGUCACGC